CAGUAGCCACGGUAAUACGAAGGGUGCAAGCGUUACUCGGAAUUACUGGGCGUAAAGCGUGCGUAGGUGGUGGUUUAAGUCCGUUGUGAAAGCCCUGGGCUCAACCUGGGAAUUGCAGUGGAUACUGGGUCACUAGAGUGUGGUAGAGGAUAGUGGAAUUUCCGGUGUAGCAGUGAAAUGCGUAGAGAUCGGAAGGAACAUCUGUGGCGAAGGCGACUAUCUGGGCCAACACUGACACUGAGGCACGAAAGCGUGGGGAGCAAACAGGAUUAGAUACCCCGUAGUCCCUGUCUCUUAUACA
This 301-nucleotide ribosomal RNA is filed under the name uncultured bacterium. RNAcentral describes it as "partial 16S ribosomal RNA". It matches the Rfam family "Bacterial small subunit ribosomal RNA", at positions 509 to 808 of the family's 1533-position model. The record is from RNAcentral.